GAUGGGCUUUCUUGUUCAAUGUGGUGACUAAUAGAUUUGAUCUUAGGGAAAUAGUCUUAACGGUUGUCAGUUCAUGUGGCCCCAGCCAACCUAUGAAAAGCUCGAUAGGGUUCUAAUGACAACUAAACAGGAGCUUAAUCAUUGGUGAUUGUACAACUCUGGAUAGAGGUAUUUCAGAACGUAUCCGCUGAUAUUAGACACAGGCAGAACUGUCUUUCACUACUAUAGAACUCACUUUAGAUCCCAC
Molecule: long non-coding RNA, 247 nt
Filed under: Setaria viridis
Lineage: Eukaryota; Viridiplantae; Streptophyta; Magnoliopsida; Poales; Poaceae
Description: long non-coding RNA (SVIR_LNC009752)
Source: RNAcentral